UUACAUAAAUACUUUUUUACAUCCAUAUUAGUCAAACCAUAAUUUACCUACAUCUUUUACUUUAGGAUAACAAAACUACUUCAAUGAGAUCACUUUUUUUUAAUUAAUUUUUUAAUUUAUUGUGCAUUGCAGAGUUGGAACCUGGCUUUCGAAUGUCCUAAGAGACAAGCACUCUUUGUCGAUACUGACUUCUUACCAGACAGUGUUCGCACAUAAUCCCACAGUGCAUCUCCAUUGGCGAUGGGGAGCGGGUCCGACCGCCCCUCCAGAGGCUUCAGGUCCCUCCUGCCCUGGCCUAGUGGACAUGGGGGACACAGGCCAACGGAGCUCUCGGAUGUGCAAACCCUGACACUCUUUAAACUGAAAGACUUCAUUUCUAACAACAGUAACAACACCACACACGCGUACGCACACACCCCACCCCUAUAGAUUUCAACUACACAGAAAAGAAACAUAACAUCUCUUCCAAACUGAAGGUCAGUUAACUGAAAGCACGGACAUAUUCCAACACAGAAUGUUAACACUGCAAAGCUGACUGGAGGAUGACUACAAACUGUGCUGUGCAAACACAGUCCCAGGGACAGACAGGGAAAGACUGAAAACACUAUGCUGAAAGGGCAUUCCUGCCUCCUGUCAUGUAUCACAGGGCUUCACCAAAGGCUGAAAUGCUGCCAUUUGCUCUUGGACACUUAGCAUCCAUUAACAAGAUGCCCUUGAACAACCGGAAGAAGAAAGCAGGAGGAAGCAACACAGACAAAUCCUCUCCCCGUGUGCUACUUUCAAAAACUGCUUCCAGAGGCUGUUUUUCCAGAGGGGGCCAUGGUGAGGCCCCUUAAAAAAACUCCCACAGGAAGUGAUUGCCACGGCUUCUCAGAGCCCAUGGUGGAUCAAGAGCAGGGAUGGAAUACACUGUGUCUCCCCUUCACUUCCUGGACCCUGGGCUGGCACUUUCCAAAUAAGUUUAACAUGUCUCUUCUGCCUCUUUCACCACUACCAUAAGAAACACUGGCUGGUGCUGUUUACUUGCGUGUGCGUGUGUCAGAGACAACCUGGAGAAGGCAGUUUUCUCUGCAUGAGUCCUGGGGAUGGACUCAGGUGUCAGGCUUGAAAGAAAACACCUUUACCCACUGAGUAAAGUGCUGAUAAAGUACUACUCGGGUGGUAGUGGUGCUGGCAGCUGGGUCAGCACACGCUUUGAUGCCAGCCUUCUGAGGUAGAGGCAGAGGCAGAGGCAGGUGGAUUUCCUGCUUUUGAGGCCAACCUGGUCUACAGAGGGAGUUCAAGGACAGACAGGGGCAACACAGAGAAAUCUUGUCUCGAAAAAAAACCUAAAAAAAAAAAAAAGAAAAGAAAACAAAACAAAACAAAAAGAAAAGUGUAAGAGAGCAACUACGAGGACCCAACAGCCAGAACCAUGCCACUUAACCCAGCAGAGGUCCAGAGUGCAGGUCCUCAGAGGCAGGCUGUCUUACACUCACUUCAUCAUCUGAAGGAUGCCUGCACAGUGUCUUUGUGAAGGAAGGAAGCAAGCAGUGAAGGAACGCCACGUGACUGAGGUGCAACUCAAGCCGGGCAGUCCUGGAUCUGGUGAGACGCUUCCCGGGAAAUGAUUCCAGAAGCAGCACUGUUUUGAUUAACAAGGACAGUCCCGGUCCCGUCUAGACCCGGGCAGGCAAUUGGCACCCUUCUUGCAUCCCACACCAACAGGAUCACCCCUUCACUUUAUUCAGAUCUGUGCUCAAUACUAUCCCAGCAGGAGCUGGAUCAGCAGGGGCUCGGUGGGUAAAGAUACUUGCGCCCUGAUGAUUGGAUUUGAUCCUUGAAAGCCAAGACAUGCAAAUCACCUUGGUGCUCAGUGAUUAAAAGCACACACUGCUCUUCAGAGGGCCUGAGUUUGAUUCCCAGCACCCACAACUACCUGUAACUCCAGCUCUGCGUGACCCAACUCCUCGGACAGCAUCUUCAGGCAUUUGUCCUCACGUGCAUACACCCAAAGUUAAAAAUAACUUUAAAAAAGGAAUCACCUCACAAUAGAUUUUCUCUGAUCACCUAGCUAAAAUUCUAUGGCAGUGGGUAUAAUGGCACACAACUUUAAUUUAGCACUCAGGAGGCUUUAUGUCUAGUGAGUUUGAGAAUAGCCUGGUCUAUAUAGCGAGCUCCAGGACAGCCAAGGCUACAUACAU
Long non-coding RNA from Mus musculus (house mouse), 2183 nucleotides. RefSeq annotates it as predicted gene, 51659. The record is from RefSeq and is a predicted model, not a curated record. The transcript is spliced from 3 exons. NCBI's taxonomy places the organism in Eukaryota, Metazoa, Chordata, Mammalia, Rodentia, Muridae.